GUGGGGAAUAUUCCGCAAUGGACGAAAGUCUGACGGAGCAACGCCGCGUGAGUGAUGAAGGUUUUCGGACUGUAAAGCUCUGUUGUUUAGGACGAAAGUGCCUGUUGCAAAUAGUUACAGGUAUUGACGGUACUGAACGAGGAAGCCACGGCUAACUACGUGCCAGCAGCCGCGGUAAUACGUAGGUGGCAAGCGUUGUCCGUAAUUAUUGGGCGUAAAGAGCAUGUAGGCGGGAAUCUAAGUCUGUUGUGAAAAUGCGGGGCUCAACCCCGUAUUGCGAUGGAAACUGGGUUUCUUGAGUGCAGGAGAGGAAAGGGGAAUUCCCAGUGUAGCGGUGAAAUGCGUAGAUAUUGGGAGGAACACCAGUGGCGAAGGCGCCUUUCUGGACUGUGUCUGACGCUGAGAUGCGAAAGCCAGGGUAGCGAACGGGAUUAGAAACCCUGGUAGUCC
This 450-nucleotide ribosomal RNA is filed under the name uncultured bacterium. Its description in RNAcentral is "partial 16S ribosomal RNA". It matches the Rfam family "Bacterial small subunit ribosomal RNA", at positions 354 to 796 of the family's 1533-position model. The record is from RNAcentral.